Molecule: microRNA precursor, 102 nt
Filed under: Marmota monax (woodchuck)
Lineage: Eukaryota; Metazoa; Chordata; Mammalia; Rodentia; Sciuridae
Source: RNAcentral
UUUGACAUCACCAGAUGAUCUAGUUAAAGUUCAAGUUGUAAUUAUUUAUGUUUGGGGGCAUCAAGAUUCUGAAUUUGUAAUAAGUUCUUAUGUGAUGCUGCU